CAGCUUCCACUGUAAAUAAAUAGAAGCCUGGCAUUGGCGGAAUCAUGGUCGACGCGAUGAUAAUGAUGGAUCAUACUUGGUUCCAAGUAAUUGAGUGUAAGUCUGGCCCAGAUCACACAUACAGUGCCUGUGCCCAAAAAACAAAAGUACCCCGCAUAAACGAGGAAGCAAGAGGGCAAUAUCAACUCCCACAAGAAAAACACCUAAACAUGAACAUAAAAGGAUUAAACUGGAUGAAAAAAACAGACACAACAAAUGGUCCAUCAAAGAGAAAUCUUUUCUGAAAGAAUACAGUCAGAAAUUACGAAAAGAUGGCGAGUCAGAAAACAGUUUCUGGAACAACUGUGCAAUUGCCAUGAACAACAUGUUUGGUGGAAAAAACAGAACAGGUUGCAGCUCUCCAAGAGAAGUUGCAGGGCAUAUAUUGUCUUCUUCAUUGAGAGGAAGUAUCGUUGUAGAACUUUUAAAUGAAAUUGAAUAUGCAGCAAAAGAAUGCUACAACAAGGACAGUGUUUUAGCCCAAAAGGAUGUCUGUGACCUGGCUGAAUUUAAAUGGCAUGAACUCAUUGAUGAACUAUUAGAGCAACAGCCACUGCUAGCUGAUGUUCUCUUGGCUGUGUCUCUACCAACCUCUAAGAUAGGGAAUACAAAAUCUGUUCAGAGACUAAUACUUGUCAUAUCUGCUGUGUUUGGAAUGUUGAUGAAUACAGGAUACCAGGAGUUGUCGUUACAACUUGUUAGUUCAAAUGAUAAUCGCAAUGACUUUAGCUAAAGAACAAACAUGCCCAAAAUUACAUUUAGUUUCAACUGUGUUUCUUUUUUUCUUCAAAUGUUUUGUUUAAGCCCAAAAACACAAAAUAUGACUUAACACCUUGUUUAUAGAAUGGAAUAUUGUAAAGUGUGCAAUUUAUAUUUAAUCAUUUUAUGAGUAACUCAAGAGAAAAUUUCAUUAAAGAGUUGCCAAACUCAGCUGUGAAUGAUUGUUUGUUUUAUAAAAUAUUCAAUGUAUGUAUUUUAAAUAUAUCUUUAUAUGUUUUACAGGGUUUUUUAUCCACUUUUUGGGAAGAUAGCCCAUGGCUUUGGAAUUGGGAAUUUUAUCUGCAUUUUCAUGAAAUUGGGAAAAUAAAUUCAUUAGCCUUUUUUUCACAUGAAAAGUCCACUGAUUAGGGAAAUACUAAAUUUGAUAUAACUCUUUAUAAUCAUUCAAAUUAAAAGAACAAAAUCAUAUAAUACUUUGUUAGAUGUAAUUGAAUUAAAAUUGAGAUAAAAUAUGCAUAAGACACUUCUUUCUAAAAAAAAUAUUAUUUUUUUUUGAAAAUUGGGAAUUUUUUGCCACAUUUUGGGAAAAAAGUAUACUUUUUGGGAUUGGGAACAUAGCUUAAUUUCGGCUAUAAAAUCAGGCCAAAAAAAACCUGGUUUUAAAUAUUUCACAAUAUCUUAAUACACAUACAGUAAAAAAACAUACCAGGUAAAAAAAAAAAAUCUUUCUUAGCCAGAAAUUAGCAAUAUACAUGUAUAGUUUCUUGCAAUUUGAUAAAAAAACAGUAUUAAACAUUAAAAUGUGUACUAUUUUCUAAACCUCAAGUUUGUGAAAUUGGGCAUUUGAAUGUUUAUGUCACUGUUCAUGACACAUGUUUUGUUUGGAAAUUAAAUAAAUCUUUUGGAACAUCUAUUUAAUAGCGCUGACCCAGGCUCUUAAGGUCCUUGAUGUUUUAGCUCACCUGAGCUCAGAUGAGCUCAUAGGAUCGAUGAAUGUCUGUUGUCCGUCCUUCUUUUAACUCCCCUUUGGGUUUUUUUUCUGCUCAUAGAUCGAGAAACUUGGUCAUGAUGAUCGUUUGGAGAAAUUGUAGGUCAAGUUCAAAGACGGGUCAUCAGGGGUCAAAAACUAGGUCACUAUGCCAUUGACAAAUAUUGGCUACCUGUACUAAGGUGAGCGAUAUAGGGCCAUUAUGGCCCUUUUGUUUUAAUUCUACCCUUAACAGAUUCAGGAAUAAGUUAACAAAUCUUGCAAAAAAAAAUUCUUAUUUCUUGUCCAUUUCGUUGCAAUUUUUGAAUAAUUGUAGUUCUAUAUGUAAUUAGAACACCAUUUAAAUUUCAUUAAUAUACCUUACGUAAAAAUGUGUUAAAUUUGAUGUCAAAAGUGAAUUUCCCAGCAGGAUUCUCAGGGUUUGUAAUUCUUAACUAAUAAAUAAUUUUUAGCCUUAUAUAGAAGCAAAAAAAUUGGUCCUGUCUGUAGCCGGGGUUUGAGUUUAUAACGCAACCUGGGUUUUACAUUCCAAGCUUUUAAUACUAUAAAGUAUAAAUGAUGUAAAUGAUGGCCUGAAACAUGAAAAAAAAUCAUGUUAUAAUUAACAAAUGGCAAUUAUAAUAACAAUUUAAAUAAUUCAUUGUAAUACAUAAUAAUAUGCAAUACAAUACAAUUACAAUUCAAGAAAAUACAAUUAAAUAAACAUAGAAUACAGCACUCACCAGUGACCUCAAGACUUAGUGUAGAAAGUGGCAAUUGGAAAAAAGCCUACUACCUCUCACAAGGUUUUACAAACAAGUGACCAAAUGUUGAGUUAUGAUUUAAAAUUAUAUAGAUGACAAUGAAAUCAUCUCACAAUAAAAGCAUGCACUGUUAGUAAUUAAACUCACUCAUACAUCACAAAGUAUCUCUCACACUGAACUUCUCUCAGUCUUGAUUGGGUUAGUAUUGUUAAAAGGAUUAGUGUCAGAGUGAAUACCCUGUUACAUACU
Molecule: long non-coding RNA, 2739 nt
Organism: Dreissena polymorpha
Lineage: Eukaryota; Metazoa; Mollusca; Bivalvia; Myida; Dreissenidae
Exons: 4
Source: RefSeq, a predicted model, not a curated record